GUAGGGGGCUAGCGUUGUCCGGAUUUAUUGGGCGUAAAGAGCGUGUAGGCGGCCAGGUAGGUCCGUUGUGAAAACUUGAGGCUUAACCUCGAGACGUCGAUGGAAACCAUCUGGCUAGAGUCCGGAAGAGGAGAGUGGAAUUCCUGGUGUAGCGGUGAAAUGCGCAGAUAUCAGGAAGAACACCCGUGGCGAAGGCGGCUCUCUGGGACGUGACUGACGCUGAGACGCGAAAGCGUGGGGAGCAAACAGGAUUAGAUACCCUGGUAGUCCACGCCGUAAACGAUGGGUGCUAGGUGUGGGCGGUGUCGACUCCGUCCGUGCCGAAGCUAACGCAUUAAGCACCCCGCCUGGGGAGUACGGCCGCAAGGCUAAA
This 373-nucleotide ribosomal RNA is filed under the name uncultured bacterium. RNAcentral's name for it is "bacterial SSU rRNA". It matches the Rfam family "Bacterial small subunit ribosomal RNA", at positions 527 to 898 of the family's 1533-position model. The record is from RNAcentral.